This 253-nucleotide ribosomal RNA is filed under the name uncultured prokaryote. RNAcentral's name for it is "partial 16S ribosomal RNA". It matches the Rfam family "Bacterial small subunit ribosomal RNA", at positions 525 to 777 of the family's 1533-position model. The record is from RNAcentral.
ACGGAGGGUGCAAGCGUUGUCCGGAUUCACUGGGUUUAAAGGGUGCGUAGGUGGCUUUGUAAGUCAGUGGUGAAAUCUUAGAGCUUAACUCUAAAACUGCCAUUGAUACUGCUUAGCUUGAAUCAAGUAGAGGUGGAUGGAAUAAUACAUGUAGCGGUGAAAUGCUUAGAUAUGUAUUAGAACACCGAUUGCGAAGGCAGUUCACUAUGCUUGUAUUGACACUGAGGCACGAAAGCGUGGGGAUCAAACAGGA